This 429-nucleotide ribosomal RNA is filed under the name Chloroflexota bacterium. Its description in RNAcentral is "Chloroflexi bacterium partial 16S ribosomal RNA". It matches the Rfam family "Bacterial small subunit ribosomal RNA", at positions 355 to 776 of the family's 1533-position model. The record is from RNAcentral. Lineage: Bacteria; Bacillati; Chloroflexota.
UGGGGAAUAUUGCACAAUGGGCGCAAGCCUGAUGCAGCCAUGCCGCGUGUGUGAAGAAGGCCUUCGGGUUGUAAAGCACUUUCAGCGGGGAGGAAGGCGAUAAGGUUAAUAACCUUGUCGAUUGACGUUACCCGCAGAAGAAGCACCGGCUAACUCCGUGCCAGCAGCCGCGGUAAUACGGAGGGUGCAAGCGUUAAUCGGAAUUACUGGGCGUAAAGCGCACGCAGGCGGUCUGUCAAGUCGGAUGUGAAAUCCCCGGGCUUAACCUGGGAACUGCAAUCGAAACUGGCAGGCUAGAGUAUUGUAGAGGGGGGUAGAAUUCCAGGUGUAGCGGUGAAAUGCGUAGAGAUCUGGAGGAAUACCGGUGGCGAAGGCGGCCCCCUGGACAAAGACUGACGCUCAGGUGCGAAAGCGUGGGGAGCAAACAGG